GAUGAACGCUAGCGGCAGGCCUAACACAUGCAAGUCGAGGGGUAGCAGGAUUAAGCUUGCUUAAUUGCUGACGACCGGCGCACGGGUGCGUAACGCGUAUGCAACCUACCUUAUACUGGGGUAUAGCCCGGAGAAAUUCGGAUUAAUCCCCCAUAGUACUAAUGAAUCGCAUGGUUUAUUAGUUAAAGCAUUGCGGUAUAAGAUGGGCAUGCGUCCUAUUAGCUAGAUGGUGAGGUAACGGCUAACCAUGGCUACGAUAGGUAGGGGGACUGAGAGGUUCGUACCCCACACGGGGACGGAAGCACGGACCAGACUCCUACGGGAGGCAGCAGUGAGGAAUAUUGGUCAAUGUGCGCAAGCCUGAACCAGCCAUGCCGCGUGCAGGAAGAAUGCCCUAUGGGUUGUAAACUGCUUUUAUUUGGGAAUAAACCUCUUUACGUGUAGAGAGCUGAAGGUACCAAAUGAAUAAGCACCGGCUAACUCCGUGCCAGCCGCCGCAGUAA
This 503-nucleotide ribosomal RNA is filed under the name uncultured bacterium. RNAcentral describes it as "partial 16S ribosomal RNA". It matches the Rfam family "Bacterial small subunit ribosomal RNA", at positions 28 to 523 of the family's 1533-position model. The record is from RNAcentral.